UACAGAGACUGCAAGCGUUAUUCGGAUUCAUUGGGCGUAAAGAGCUCGUAGGCGGUUCGAUAAGUCGGGUGUGAAACCUCCAGGCUCAACCUGGAGACGCCACCCGAUACUGUCGUGACUAGAGUCCAGUAGGGGAGCGUGGAAUUCCUGGUGUAGCGGUGAAAUGCGUAGAUAUCUGGAGGAAUACCGGUGGCGAAGGCGGCAUCCUGGACCGACAUUGACGCUGAUGAGCGAAAGCUAGGGGAGCAAACGGG
Molecule: ribosomal RNA, 254 nt
Filed under: uncultured bacterium
Lineage: Bacteria
Description: partial 16S ribosomal RNA
Rfam family: Bacterial small subunit ribosomal RNA
Source: RNAcentral